GUCCUACGGGAGGCAGCAGUGGGGAAUAUUGCACAAUGGGGGAAACCCUGAUGCAGCGACGCCGCGUGAGCGAAGAAGUAUUUCGGUAUGUAAAGCUCUAUCAGCAGGGAAGAAAAAUGACGGUACCUGAGUAAGAAGCACCGGCUAAAUACGUGCCAGCAGCCGCGGUAAUACGUAUGGUGCAAGCGUUAUCCGGAUUUACUGGGUGUAAAGGGAGCGCAGGCGGGGCGGCAAGUCUGAUGUGAAAGCCCGGGGCCCAACCCCGGGACUGCAUUGGAAACUGCCGUACUUGAGUGUCGAAGGGG
This 305-nucleotide ribosomal RNA is filed under the name uncultured bacterium. RNAcentral describes it as "bacterial SSU rRNA". It matches the Rfam family "Bacterial small subunit ribosomal RNA", at positions 335 to 657 of the family's 1533-position model. The record is from RNAcentral.